Molecule: ribosomal RNA, 1045 nt
Filed under: Nostoc sp. 1LC27s01
Lineage: Bacteria; Bacillati; Cyanobacteriota; Cyanophyceae; Nostocales; Nostocaceae
Description: bacterial SSU rRNA
Rfam family: Bacterial small subunit ribosomal RNA
Source: RNAcentral
CGAAAGCCUGACGGAGCAAUACCGCGUGAGGGAGGAAGGCUCUUGGGUCGUAAACCUCUUUUCUCAGGGAAGAACACAAUGACGGUACCUGAGGAAUAAGCAUCGGCUAACUCCGUGCCAGCAGCCGCGGUAAUACGGAGGAUGCAAGCGUUAUCCGGAAUGAUUGGGCGUAAAGCGUCCGCAGGUGGCAAUGUAAGUCUGCUGUUAAAGAGUCUAGCUCAACUAGAUAAAAGCAGUGGAAACUACAUAGCUAGAGUACGUUCGGGGCAGAGGGAAUUCCUGGUGUAGCGGUGAAAUGCGUAGAGAUCAGGAAGAACACCGGUGGCGAAGGCGCUCUGCUAGGCCGUAACUGACACUGAGGGACGAAAGCUAGGGGAGCGAAUGGGAUUAGAUACCCCAGUAGUCCUAGCCGUAAACGAUGGAUACUAGGCGUGGCUUGUAUCGACCCGAGCCGUGCCGUAGCUAACGCGUUAAGUAUCCCGCCUGGGGAGUACGCCGGCAACGGUGAAACUCAAAGGAAUUGACGGGGGCCCGCACAAGCGGUGGAGUAUGUGGUUUAAUUCGAUGCAACGCGAAGAACCUUACCAAGGCUUGACAUGUCGCGAAUCUUCUUGAAAGGGAAGAGUGCCUUCGGGAGCGCGAACACAGGUGGUGCAUGGCUGUCGUCAGCUCGUGUCGUGAGAUGUUGGGUUAAGUCCCGCAACGAGCGCAACCCUCGUUUUUAGUUGCCAGCAUUAAGUUGGGCACUCUAGAGAGACUGCCGGUGACAAACCGGAGGAAGGUGGGGAUGACGUCAAGUCAGCAUGCCCCUUACGCCUUGGGCUACACACGUACUACAAUGCUCCGGACAGAGGGCAGCAAGCAUGCGAAUGCAAGCAAAUCCCGUAAACCGGAGCUCAGUUCAGAUCGCAGGCUGCAACUCGCCUGCGUGAAGGAGGAAUCGCUAGUAAUUGCAGGUCAGCAUACUGCAGUGAAUUCGUUCCCGGGCCUUGUACACACCGCCCGUCACACCAUGGAAGCUGGUAGUGCCCGAAGUCAUUACUCC